Molecule: ribosomal RNA, 253 nt
Filed under: uncultured bacterium
Lineage: Bacteria
Description: partial 16S ribosomal RNA
Rfam family: Bacterial small subunit ribosomal RNA
Source: RNAcentral
UACAGAGGUCCCGAGCGUUGUUCGGAUUUAUUGGGCGUAAAGGGUGCGUAGGCGGCGGAGUAAGUUGGGUGUGAAAUCCCGGGGCUCAACCUCGGAAUGGCAUUCAAUACUGCUUCGCUAGAGUACUGGAGAGGAGGCUGGAAUUUACGGUGUAGCAGUGAAAUGCGUAGAUAUCGUAAGGAACACCGGUGGCGAAGGCGGCGUUCUGGACUGCAACUGACACUGAGGAACGAAAGCCAGGGGAGCAAACGGG